Molecule: long non-coding RNA, 326 nt
Filed under: Glycine max (soybean)
Lineage: Eukaryota; Viridiplantae; Streptophyta; Magnoliopsida; Fabales; Fabaceae
Description: long non-coding RNA (GMAX_LNC003515)
Source: RNAcentral
AGUUCGGGGUGCUGGACCUCAACAACGACGGCGUCCUCUCGCGCUCGGAGCUCCGCACGGCCUUCGAGUCCAUGCGCCUCAUCGAGACGCACUUCGGCAUCGACGUCGCCACGCCGCCGGAUCAGCUCGCGAAGCUCUACGACUCCAUCUUCGACAAGUUCGACGGCGACCGGAGCGGCGCCGUCGACCGCCGCGAGUUCCGGGAUGAGAUGAGGAAGAUCAUGCUCGCCAUCGCCGACGGCCUCGGCUCCUUCCCCAUCCGCAUGGUCCUCGAGGAUGAUCCCAAUAGUCUUCUUCAGAAAGCUGCAGAUCUCGAAGCUUCCAAG